CCUUUUAAACCUAUUUUCUCACUCAGCCUCCGAAGUCUCUCUCUCUCUCUCUGUGCAGGGAAAAAAUGGCAACUGUAGCACAAACCCAUAUCCACUUCUAUCCUUCAUGUUCCCCCAAACCGAACAAAAACACUUGUUGUGUACCAUAACCAGCUCCAGAACCAAAUGGAAUAGUAAUAGUGCUGUGGCAGCAAUGCAGAGGUUGUGACUAAUGCUGAGGAGCAGACUCUGUGGUGAAUGGUGAUAGAAAAAUUGCUAAGAGACAAGCAGCUGAGCUGUGGUGAAUCCUGAGAACACUUUCUUUUCUGUGAAAAAUGUUUCAUUGGGAAGAGGAAGAUGUCUGAGACUGAGAUGGAUGAGGAUUGAGGAGGCCAAGCAGAUGGACUACUAGCCCAACCACAUUCCGUAUAGUCUCGCCAUUGAGGCUCCUACCUCUGGAUGUGAUGGUCAGUGUAAUCGGGUAUGAAAAGAUUUUGGCAGAAGCUGUGGAAGGCAAAAAUCCCAAAUAAGGUUAGAAACUUCGGCUGGAGAGUGGUCAAAAUAUCAUUCCAACCAAGAUGAAUUUAUUUCAUGGGAAAGUCAUUGAAGAGUGAAGAUCCAACCUGUGAAGAGUGUGGUUUAGGCUCAGAAACUGUCUUGCAUGUACUGUGUCAAUGCACAAAGGCAAGGGAAGUAUGGACCCAUUGUAAUCUGAGUCAUAUGAUAGGGGGCAAGGGGAGUUUACUGAUAUAUUGUGGCAAAGUGGGAUGAAUCCCAAUAAUGGCUCAAACUUGCUGGAUAUUAUACUGAUGAUUGCAUGGUGUAUAUGGAAGAAUAAAAAUGAAGUAAGGCAUGGGGGAAGAAAACACACUGCUGCAGAAAUGUUUGAGACAGCCAUAAGACUAUUGGAUGAAUAUAAUGCAGCACAGGAGGUUCCAGUCCAACACAGGGAAGAUCAGCCAGCUUAGGGUAGGUGGGUUUCUCUUCCAAAUGGAUGGUAUAAGUUGAACACAGAUGGGGCUGUAUUUUCGAAGCAAAGGUGGACUGGUAUUGGUAUUGGUGUGAUAGCAAGGGAUGAUCAAGGACGAGUGGUGGCUGCAAUGAGCAAAACAUUGCAGGUCCCACUAGGAGCACUGGAGAUUGAAGCAAAAGCUGUUGAGGCUGCUGCUAUUUUUCCUAGGGAUAUUGGCAUCCAGGAAGUAAUUUUUGAAAGUGACAGCUUGCUGGUCUGCUUGGCUAUUCAAGGGAAAACAGAGGCUUCACCUGCUAUUGCCAAUGUCAUUUCAGGUACGCUGCAACAUAUGCAAUUUUUCUGCCAAGUUGAAGUUUGUCACACACGAAGAGAAGGGAAUAAAGAAGCACAUGGGCUCACUAAGUAUGCCCAAUUUAUAGAUGACUUUGUAACAUGGAUGGAGGAAACUCCAACUGUUAUAGAUUCUGAAGUAUCUUCAGAUGUAAACCAGUAUUUUCAAUCAUGAAAUGAUAUAAAUUCACUGGUUUCCUAUAAAUAAAUAAAAAAUUA
This is a long non-coding RNA of Quercus lobata, 1501 nucleotides long. RefSeq lists it as uncharacterized. Lineage: Eukaryota; Viridiplantae; Streptophyta; Magnoliopsida; Fagales; Fagaceae. The transcript has 2 exons. The record is from RefSeq and is a predicted model, not a curated record.